RNAcentral lists this long non-coding RNA (4113 nucleotides) under Xyrichtys novacula (pearly razorfish). The record is from RNAcentral. Lineage: Eukaryota; Metazoa; Chordata; Actinopteri; Labriformes; Labridae.
GAGGAGGAGGAGGAGGAGCAGGAGGCCAGAGAUGGGGAAGAAGAGGUUUAGGAAGUCUGAGGAAACUUGGAGGAGGUGCAGUUACAUUUAUUAGGUCAGAGGAGGAGGUGCUCUUAGGCCGACAGGGAGAACCAAGAGGAGGCCAAGGAGCAGAGAAGGGUCCAAGCAAGAAGUACGGAGGCUUAAGGAGGCGCAGGAGCAGUGAUGAGGAGUCAGAAAGAGGUCGAGGACACUGUGAGGAGGCAUGUGGAGGUCAGGGAGCAGAGAGAGGGGGAGCUACACAAGGAGCUGAGGGAAGAGAGGGAGUCAUGAGGAGACCGAGGGAGGAGGUGAGAGGAGGAGAGAGAGGUGAGAGGAGGAGCAGGAGGCCAGAGAUGGGGAAGAAGAGGUUUAGGAAGUCUGAGGAAACUUGGAGGAGGUGCAGUUACAUUUAUAAGGUCAGAGGAGGAGGUGCCCUUAGGCAGACAGGGAGAACCAAGAGGUGGAAGGAGGAGGAGGAAAGAGGCUGAAGGAGGUGCAGGAGAAGUGCAGGGAGCACACAAGGAGCCUCAUGGAUGAGCAGGAGGAGGUGCUGGAUAUAUUUGGAGGUUUAAGGAAACUUGUAAAGGAAGAGGAGUGAGGAGACGCAGGGGUGUGUGUGUGUGUAAGAGUUCACCCAGCAGGAGGAGUGAGGAGGUGCAGUCUGAGGUUCUGGAGCAUCGUGGCGGGAGACUUUAGGAGGAGAAGCUGCUGGAGGAGUUAGGAAAAGGCCGGAGGAACUUCAUGGAGACGCAGGAGCAGAAGAAGGAUGGAGGAGAGCCAAGAGGAGGUCAGGGAGCAGAGAAGGGUCCAAGCAAGAAGUACGGAGGCUUAAGGAGGCGCAGGAGCAGUGAUGAGGAGUCAGAAAGAGGUCGAGGACACUUUGAGGAGGCAUGUGGAGGUCAGGGAGCAGAGAGAGGGGGAGCUACACAAGGAGCUGAGGGAAGAGAGGGAGUCAUGAGGAGACCGAGGGAGGAGGAGAGAGGAGGAGAGAAGAGGUGAGAGGAAGUGAGAGGAGGUGAGAGGAGGAGAGAGGAGGUGAGAGGAGGAGAGAGGAGGUGAGAGGAGGAGAGAGGAGGAGAGAGGAAGUGAGAGGAGGUGAGAGGAGGAGAGAGGAGGUGAGAGGAGGAGAGAGGAAGUGAGAGGAGGAGAGAGGAGGAGAGAGGAGGUGAGAGGAGGUGAGAGGAGGAGAGAGGAAGUGAGAGGAGGAGAGAGGAGGAGAGAGGAGGAAAGAGGAAGUGAGAGGAGGUGAGAGGAGGUGAGAGGAAGUGAGAGGAGGUGAGAGGAGGAGAGAGGAAGUGAGAGGAGGAGAGAGGAGGAGAGAGGAAGUGAGAGGAGGAGAGAGGAGGAGAGAGGAAGUGAGAGGAGGAGAGAGGAGGUGAGAGGAGGUGAGAGGAGGAGAGAGGAAGUGAGAGGAGGAGAGAGGAGGAGAGAGGAGGAAAGAGGAAGUGAGAGGAGGAGAGAGGAGGAGAGAGGAGGUGAGAGGAGGAGAGAGGAAGUGAGAGGAGGAGAGAGGAGGAGAGAGGAGGUGAGAGGAGGUGAGAGGAGGAGAGAGGAAGUGAGAGGAGGAGAGAGGAGGAGAGAGGAGGAAAGAGGAAGUGAGAGGAGGUGAGAGGAGGUGAGAGGAAGUGAGAGGAGGUGAGAGGAGGAGAGAGGAAGUGAGAGGAAGUGAGAGGAGGAGAGAGGAGGAGAGAGGAGGAGAGAGGAAGUGAGAGGAGGAGAGAGGAAGUGAGAGGAGGAGAGAGGAGGUGAGAGGAGGAGAGAGGAAGUGAGAGGAGGUGAGAGGAGGAGAGAGGAAGUGAGAGGAGGAGAGAGGAGGAGAGAGGAGGAAAGAGGAAGUGAGAGGAGGUGAGAGGAGGUGAGAGGAAGUGAGAGGAGGUGAGAGGAGGAGAGAGGAAGUGAGAGGAAGUGAGAGGAGGAGAGAGGAGGAGAGAGGAGGAGAGAGGAAGUGAGAGGAGGAGAGAGGAAGUGAGAGGAGGAGAGAGGAGGAGAGAGGAGGAGAGAGGAGGAGAGAGGAGUCCACUGGGAGCUGCUCAGUUCUGAGGAGGUGCAGAGGAGAAUCAGUUCAUCAUAGAAACUGAACUCCCCCCCCCCCCCUGUUAUAAAUCAGAGCCACAUUGUGUGGGCGUCGGCCUCUGUUGCCCUGGAAACCGUUUAUUGCUCUGGAAAUUGCUCCAGUCUUUUGGAGCGUUGGAGGUCAGAGGUUCAACCGGGACACGACGGGCUGAACCCUCAGACCCCCUCCUCAGUGGGGGGGUCCCAGUCGGAGCCCCUCGCCCUCUGGAUGACUCUGCAGAGAUGUGUGGACAUUCAGGAUUUCAUGCUAAUAAUGGAAGACAAGGGGGGGGUGACCUCCUUAGUCCUGAUUAAGACUCAGAACUGCUGACCCCCCCCCCCAAACAAGGGUCUGUGUUUUUACAGGCUGUAAAGAAGAAGAGGGUUCAGAGAGUCACAGACCAACAGAGAAGAUGGACACCCCCCCCAGAGUCCUGCUGAGGACAGACCCCACCAGGCUGGACUCUGGACUCUGGACUCUGGACUCUGGACUCUGGCUGUGCACCAAUUCCUACCGUAUCCGUUUGUGAGGCGAAUGUCAUGGCGAGAACUCACAAGAACCCGCAGAUUCACGAUCAAUCACUCGAUAACGAGUUGUCUCUCUAAAGACAGACACAUAGACAUAUAAGCAGUAGAUUGUGUCCUUCCAGAGGAGGAAAUCUACUUCUAGACUUCUAGAAUCAGGAUAACGAGUCGUCUCUGUAACGACAGUCUGAAUGAUCUUGACUCUGUUUUUAAAUCCAUUCUCAAAGUACAACUGCAGGAACGGUACGGCCGGAAACCAACACUGAACGCCCGUGACCUUCGACCCCUCAGGCGGCGCUGUAUCAAAAACCGACAUCAGUGUGUAAAGGAUAUCAGCACAUGGACUCAGGAACACUUCAGAAAACCACUGUCAGUAAAUUCAGUUCGUCUCUACAUCUGUAAGUUAAAACUCUAAAGACAUUUAUCAACAACAUCCAGAAACGCCGCCGGCUUCUCUGGACCCGAGCUCAUCUGAGAUGGACUGAUGCAAAGUGGAAAAGUGUUCUGUGGUCUGACGAGUCAAAGAACCAUCCGGACUGUUGGGGGUGCAUUAGUGCCCGAGGCAUGGGUAACUUACACAUCUGUGAAGGCAACAUUCAUGCUGAAGGUACAAACAGGUUUUAGAGCAACAUCUGCUGCCAUCCAAGACACGUCUUUGUCAUGGACGCCCUUCCUGCUUAUUUCAGCGAGACAACGCCACGCCACAUUCUGCACGUGUUACAACAGCGUGGCUUCGUAGUCAAAGAGUGCAGGUACUCGACUGACCUGCCUGCAGUCCAGACCUGUCUCCCACUGAAAAUGUGUGGAGGAUUAUGAAGAGUAAAACACGACAACGGAGACCCCGGACUGUUGAAGAACUGAAGCUGAACAUGAAGAACGGGAAAGAAUUCCACCUUCAGCUCCAACAGUUCGUCUCCUCAGUUCACAAACGUUUACUGAGUUUGUUAAAAGGUGAUGGAACACAGAGGUAAACAUGAACCUGUCCAACUACUGUGGAGCGUGUUGAAAUUCUGAGUUCAUUAAUAUUUACAAAGACAAAUAAAGUUUAUGAGUUUGAACAUUAAAGAUCUUUGUGGUGAAUUUAAUUAAAUUUAGAUUUAAAAGGAUUUACAAAUCAUUGUAUUCUGUUUUUAUUUACGUUUAUCACCAACUUCAUUAAAAUUGGGUUUUAAAGUUCAGCAGGUAAAAUAACCUGAAAUUUAAAAAUCUGUCUCUUCUUGAUUUCUGUGAAAAUUUCAGGACCCCCCCCCCUCUGUUUCUGACAUGAAUAAACCAAUUAGUGUGUACCAAAGGUCUGCUCAGGGUGAACAGGAUGGAACUCUACUCUGCCCUCAGGGUGAGGACGGGGUGAGUGGAGGGGAGGGGUGGGAGGUGGGGGGGGGUUACAGGUGCAGUCAGGGAGGUGGAGGUGGAGGUGGGGGGGUCAGAGGUUAUCUUGUAGAGCAGAGAGAGCAGAGGGCAGAGACUCCAUCUGUUUACCUGAGGAACAGCAGCUCACAGGCUCAGUUUCCUGAU